Molecule: ribosomal RNA, 499 nt
Filed under: uncultured bacterium
Lineage: Bacteria
Description: bacterial SSU rRNA
Rfam family: Bacterial small subunit ribosomal RNA
Source: RNAcentral
GAUGAACGCUAGCGGCAGGCUUAACACAUGCAAGUCGAGGGGUAUUGGUUUUCGGACCAAGAGACCGGCGCACGGGUGCGUAACGCGUAUGCAAUCUACCUUUUGCAGAGGGAUAGCCCAGAGAAAUUUGGAUUAAUACCUCAUAGUAUAGUACUUUGGCAUCAAGGAACUAUUAAAGUCACAACGGCAAAAGAUGAGCAUGCGUUCCAUUAGCUAGUUGGUGAGGUAACGGCUUACCAAGGCUACGAUGGGUAGGGGUCCUGAGAGGGAGAUCCCCCACACUGGUACUGAGACACGGACCAGACUCCUACGGGAGGCAGCAGUGAGGAAUAUUGGACAAUGGGCGCAAGCCUGAUCCAGCCAUGCCGCGUGCAGGAUGACGGUUCCUAUGGAUUGUAAACUGCUUUUGUAACAGGGAAGAAACCCUUUCACGUGUGGAAGAUUGACGGUACUGUAAGAAUAAGGAUCGGCUAACUCCGUGCCAGCAGCCGCGGUAAAG